Magnolia sinica is the source of this 984-nucleotide long non-coding RNA. RefSeq lists it as uncharacterized. NCBI's taxonomy places the organism in Eukaryota, Viridiplantae, Streptophyta, Magnoliopsida, Magnoliales, Magnoliaceae. The record is from RefSeq and is a predicted model, not a curated record. The transcript has 2 exons.
UACAGACAUUAAAGAUUGGAAGUGAUCCGCUGGGUGGACCGGAACGUGUUGAAAUUAGAUACCAUCUCCAUUUCAUAUAUCAUAUACCAUCCUUCUCAGACUAUCUGGUGGAAAGAAAUCCUCUUGGUGAGGAUUUAAAAAAGAAAAACACGGUUAGUUGUGUGUAUAUGCGUGGGAAUGGAAUGUGUAGUUUUCAUUAUCCCCUUCUUCAUUGCUCCUGUCAAGGAAUUCAAAGUCCUUUAAUGCUGUUUGGUGUGAGGUCUGACCAAAGAGAUGGUGGAUAUAUCAGAUCCUACGGUGUAAUUCCGAGAGAGAUCUCUGGUGGUUUUUGGGGUUUAAGAGAGGAUGCAAAAGAGAAGAGAAAAUCAAAAGAAUCAACGGUCACUGUUACUUUUGGGAAAUGCAAGUCCAAGGAAACUGAUUUCUGCAUGAGUCCAACGUCGCUGGAGAAGAAUUCUACUUUUGAAGAAAAAAGAAGAGUGCCCACAGGCCCAAAUCCCUUGCACAACAGGUAGAAUAACAAAGCCAUGAAGAAGAAAUUUCCCCAAAAAAAAAAAUAAAAUACGAGAUUGAUAUUUACACCCCUUAUUUUGACACAUGCACCCAUUUUUUUCUCCAUUCCUUUGUUGGAUAAUUAUCUUGGAGAGAAAAAACCAAAAAGACAAGUAUGGUGUAUAUAAUAAAAAAAUGGGUGUUAAUAUCAGUUCCAAGAAGAAGAAGAAGACCCAUGUGCAGUUUUUUUAAAGUUUUUUUUCAAUAUUCUUCCAUGGUUUUGAAUCUAGACAGAUAUUAUAAAGAAAGAAAAUGAUAUUUUAUAUUUUUUUUUCUAUAGAUUUAUGUUGCAUGUAAAUGGAUUGAUGCUUUUGAGUCAUGCUUCUUCCUUUUUUUAUUGAGGAUUAUUAUUAUUGUAAUGAAAUGUAACUCUCAUACUUAUAGGAAGUGUUAUUUGGAAAGAAUUAUCAAAGAAGUAGGAUUCUAUUUUUU